UGGGGAAUAUUGCACAAUGGGGGAAACCCUGAUGCAGCAACGCCGCGUGAAGGAAGAAGGGUUUCGGCUCGUAAACUUCUAUCGAUAGGGACGAAAGAGAUGACGGUACCUAAAUAAGAAGCCCCGGCUAACUACGUGCCAGCAGCCGCGGUAAUACGUAGGGGGCAAGCGUUAUCCGGAAUUACUGGGUGUAAAGGGAGCGUAGGCGGCAAGGUAAGUAAGAUGUGAAAGCCCGCAGCUUAACUGCGAGGAUUGCAUUUUAAACUAUCUAGCUUGAGUACAGGAGAGGUAAGCGGAAUUCCU
This 303-nucleotide ribosomal RNA is filed under the name uncultured bacterium. RNAcentral describes it as "bacterial SSU rRNA". It matches the Rfam family "Bacterial small subunit ribosomal RNA", at positions 355 to 671 of the family's 1533-position model. The record is from RNAcentral.